Molecule: ribosomal RNA, 829 nt
Filed under: uncultured soil bacterium
Lineage: Bacteria
Description: partial 16S ribosomal RNA
Rfam family: Bacterial small subunit ribosomal RNA (bases 130-362)
Source: RNAcentral
UUGCCCUAAAAUUGGCUCCUAGAUCAAGAUGAGCAUUUAUUAGCCUGCCUAGUACAUUUACACUCAAAGGAUGUGUCUUUUGUACCUCUACACAUAGUAUCCUUAAUAGGACAACCUUUGUCUUUCUACAUGAACGACCUACCCCAUAUAGGGGCGAUACCGCUCCUAUCAGAUUGCUGAUAGCGCAUGUGGACAUUGGAUUUCUCAACUUAUGACUAACAGAGCAUGUCCCUUUGGGAGGGACCUGCCUCCCAUCAACUAGUUGGUGACGUAAUGGCUCACCAACGCCACCACGCGUACGCGACCUGAGAGGGUGGCCCCCCAUCAUGGAACUGAAACACCGUCCAUACACCCUACGGGUGUCCUCAAUAUGGACUAUUGCCCGCUGGCUCCAUAUCCUGAUGCGACGACUCCCCCAGUUGGAUCGAUGCCUUCUGGUCCGCUAAUGCAUCUUUUUGGUGAGAUUAGCCUGGACGCUCUCCCCCGGCUAACUCUCAGCUGGCUGCCUGCUCGCCUCCGGCUUCAACCCGCGGCGGCAAGCGGUAUCCCCAUUCCCUGAGUAUGGUGGCGUACAGUAGCCCAGAAUAUUAUGUAUCUAUUCCACUGCUUAUGUCGAAAUAUCGCGUUGUUUUACUCCGCUCCACACCCACGGACGACCAUGUACUUUCCUGAUUUCUGUGGAAUGUCCUAUUUGUGCUGAGUUGCUCUUUUGUUCAGUCACGUCCCGUGCUGCGUCCUCCCCGCGGUCGCGCUACCCGCGGGCACAACCCCGUCCUUUACCCCCGCUCUCACCAUCUCUCUCACGUGAGAGCUCGUAAGUGUCUGCAGA